This is a long non-coding RNA of Pollicipes pollicipes, 486 nucleotides long. RefSeq lists it as uncharacterized. The record is from RefSeq and is a predicted model, not a curated record. The transcript is spliced from 4 exons. NCBI's taxonomy places the organism in Eukaryota, Metazoa, Arthropoda, Thecostraca, Pollicipedomorpha, Pollicipedidae.
GAUGCCUUGCGCUUAUAUGGGGUUUAUAGUUCGGUCUAAGCCGCCUUUUCGCAGCGACGUUCGUCGAUAGUCCGGCGCUCCAUUUUUGACAAGGGUUAAUAGAUAUUGAAGACAUACAACGUUAUAGUAACAUGUCAGCGGAUUCCAAAGUGUCUCAGAGUAAGAGUUAUUUCUGUACCAGGGACUAUCAGAGAGAACAUGCUCCACUGUUUUCCACUGAAACAGAUGCUCACCCAUUAUCCAGCAUAUAUUGGCGCGGAAAAGGUGGCGCCACCGUCGGCGACCCGCUGACUCAGCUGAUGGAAGGCAGUGAUCCUCUCUCAAUGAUGGCCGCCGUCGACGCAGCUGACGACCCUGAACAGCCUGUCGAGAUGUCACGUGACGAGGUGGCGCACGACGAUUGGCCGGCAGCACGGCGCGCCAUCUUGUCCCAGUUCACCACGUCCGAGCUGGUGACCGUCACCACCUCGCGGGACAGCAGUGGUG